RNAcentral lists this transfer RNA (73 nucleotides) under Acropora cervicornis. RNAcentral's name for it is "tRNA-Thr". It matches the Rfam family "tRNA". From Rfam's summary of the family: Transfer RNA (tRNA) molecules are approximately 80 nucleotides in length. Their secondary structure includes four short double-helical elements and three loops (D, anti-codon, and T loops). The record is from RNAcentral. Lineage: Eukaryota; Metazoa; Cnidaria; Anthozoa; Scleractinia; Acroporidae.
GGCUUCAUAGCUCAGUUGGUUAGAGCGUCGAGCCAGUGUCGCGAGGUUACGGGUUCAAACCCCAUUGAAGUCC